This 356-nucleotide ribosomal RNA is filed under the name uncultured fungus. RNAcentral's name for it is "eukaryotic LSU rRNA". It matches the Rfam family "Eukaryotic large subunit ribosomal RNA", at positions 40 to 398 of the family's 3401-position model. Lineage: Eukaryota; Fungi. The record is from RNAcentral.
AUAUCAAUAAGCGGAGGAAAAGAAACCAACAGGGAUUGCCCCAGUAACGGCGAGUGAAGCGGCAACAGCUCAAAUUUGAAAUCUGGCACCUGGUGCCCGAGUUGUAAUUUGCAGAGGAUGCUUUUGGCGAGGCGCCUUCCGAGUUCCCUGGAACGGGACGCCAUAGAGGGUGAGAGCCCCGUCUGGUUGGAUGCCGAGCCUCUGUAAAGCUCCUUCGACGAGUCGAGUAGUUUGGGAAUGCUGCUCUAAAUGGGAGGUAUAUGUCUUCUAAAGCUAAAUAUUGGCCAGAGACCGAUAGCGCACAAGUAGAGUGAUCGAAAGAUGAAAAGCACUUUGAAAAGAGGGUUAAAAAGUAC